AAGGGUAUAGCUCAGUGGUAGAGUGCAUGCCUAGUAUGCACAAAGUCCUGGGUUCAAUCCCUGGUACCUCUG
Molecule: transfer RNA, 72 nt
Filed under: Camelus bactrianus (Bactrian camel)
Lineage: Eukaryota; Metazoa; Chordata; Mammalia; Artiodactyla; Camelidae
Also listed under: 2 other names
Rfam family: tRNA
About the family: Transfer RNA (tRNA) molecules are approximately 80 nucleotides in length. Their secondary structure includes four short double-helical elements and three loops (D, anti-codon, and T loops).
Source: Rfam by way of RNAcentral